Molecule: ribosomal RNA, 373 nt
Filed under: uncultured bacterium
Lineage: Bacteria
Description: bacterial SSU rRNA
Rfam family: Bacterial small subunit ribosomal RNA
Source: RNAcentral
ACGUAGGGGGCGAGCGUUGUCCGGAUUUAUUGGGCGUAAAGAGCGCGUAGGUGGCCUUUUAAGUUGGCUGUGAAAUCACCCGGCUCAACUGGGUGCGGUCGGCCAAGACUAGAAGGCUUGAGGGCGGUAGAGGAAGGUGGAAUUCCCGGUGUAGUGGUGAAAUGCGUAGAGAUCGGGAGGAACACCGUUGGCGAAGGCGGCCUUCUGGGCCGUUCCUGACACUGAGGCGCGAAAGCGUGGGUAGCGAACUGAAUUAGAUACUCAGGUAGUCCACGCCCUAAACGAUGGACGCUAGGUGCUGGGGGUAUCGACCCCCUCGGUGCCGAAGCUAACGCAUUAAGCGUCCCGCCUGGGGAGUACGGCCGCAAGGCUA